GGCGCGGUAGCUCAGUUGGUUAGAGCGAACGACUCAUAAUCGUUAGGUCGGGAGUUCAAAUCUCCCCCACGCCA
Transfer RNA from Loktanella sp. S4079, 74 nucleotides. It matches the Rfam family "tRNA". Rfam says of the family: Transfer RNA (tRNA) molecules are approximately 80 nucleotides in length. Their secondary structure includes four short double-helical elements and three loops (D, anti-codon, and T loops). The record is from Rfam. Lineage: Bacteria; Pseudomonadati; Pseudomonadota; Alphaproteobacteria; Rhodobacterales; Roseobacteraceae.